This 871-nucleotide long non-coding RNA is filed under the name Phasianus colchicus (ring-necked pheasant). RNAcentral describes it as "lncRNA (ENSPCLG00000006338.1)". The record is from RNAcentral. Lineage: Eukaryota; Metazoa; Chordata; Aves; Galliformes; Phasianidae.
GGAUGCUGUGUCUUUUGGGUGUCACGACCUAAUUUCAGGAGAUUCCUAAUACGGUUGCUUAUAUUUGGGUAUUUCCAGUAAUCCAGUUAUGCACGUUGCUAACCUGAAGCUGAUGUCUCCGUUGAAGUUGUAUGAGGCAGAACCAGGUGGAGCAGGGCUGGUCCCCACACAGCUGCAGGAAGUUUCCUUGGUGCUAGUGUGGAAUUCUUCACUAAAGAGACAAAAUCUGCCAUGUUCUUCUCAUGAACACAGCAACUGCACAAGAUCAUUGCUCUAUAUCUGCAAGCAUCAGAUGUGUUUGUAAGUGAUGUGACUACCAGCAGCACCGGUUGAAAUUUCUGAGUACCACGCUGUAAGACCAGGCGUCAUGUGAGCGAUAGAGCAUCUGGGAACCCUGCGGACUGAGUGCCAGUGGUUUCUUUCAACCAGAGAACUGCAGUGUGCUUGCAGCACUGAGAAAUUUAUUCCCCUAGAUCCUCAUUAAGUAUUACGGUAACUUCUACUUUGCCUUUUAAAACUAAAAAUGGAGUGCAAAUCAUUCUUCUGAUCACUAUAGAAAUAGGCAAUUCCUAUAUUUGGAUUGGCGUGAAUUGAAAAUCCAAGCUAUUGGUCUAGCAGACUCAGAGUGAAGGACAGAAAAUACAAAUUAGAAUUACUGUGUUUCUUUCACAGGGAUUAGCCAUUUGUAAGAGAAAUUUCACGAUCUACAGUAGAUAUGGAGUACAGAUACAGAGUGUAUCUGUUGAAUUGUGGCAAUGUUUAAGUGCAAACAAAAUCUGUGAUAGAAAAGAAUAGUAUACUUCCAAGUGUUCAUGCUUUGCAAAUGGGCUAAAACAAUAAACAGAAUGCUAAAGUAAGAAUAAUAACCCCU